RNAcentral lists this ribosomal RNA (546 nucleotides) under Zancleopsis sp. SN120. RNAcentral describes it as "partial large subunit ribosomal RNA". The record is from RNAcentral. Lineage: Eukaryota; Metazoa; Cnidaria; Hydrozoa; Anthoathecata; Zancleopsidae.
UGGUUUAUGAAUGAACAAUAAAACUGUCGAAAAUGAACUAAAAGGACGCGGUAUCCUGACCGUGGUAAAGUAGCAUAAUCAAUCGCCACUUAAUUAGUGGAUAGUAUGAAUGGUAUAACGAGUACAAAAUUGUCUCAGAUAAGGAUCUUAUGAAAUUGAAACAAUAGUCAAGAUGCUAUUUUAAACUGUAAGACGAGAAGACCCUAUAGAGCUUAACUACAACUCUUCCAAAAAUCAAUUACUAAAGAGAGAUAGAUAGUUUAGUUGGGGCGACUAUUUUCUAGAAAAAACGAAAACGAACAAAAUUAAUUAAAUAAUUUACKGUAUAAAAAAUAAAUUUAACAGUUAUUAUAAUAGGUAAUAAUGACCCGUUGUUAACAAAUAAAAGUAACAACGAUUAACAAAUAAAAGCUACCUUAGGGAUAACAGGAUAAUCUUGUUUCAGAGACCUUAUCGAAAACAAGGUUUGUCACCUCUAUGUUGAAUUAAGACAUCCUAAAAGUGCAGAAGCUUUUAAGGGUGGGUCUGUUCGACCCAUAAAGUCUU